This is a long non-coding RNA of Cyphomyrmex costatus, 214 nucleotides long. RefSeq lists it as uncharacterized. The transcript is spliced from 2 exons. NCBI's taxonomy places the organism in Eukaryota, Metazoa, Arthropoda, Insecta, Hymenoptera, Formicidae. The record is from RefSeq and is a predicted model, not a curated record.
UUGAAUGAGAUAUAUAAACGUAACAAAUAAUUAUUGAAGUGUUCAAAGGACUUGACUAGAAAAUUCCGAGUUUUAUUUAAGAGUAGUGGAAUUGCGCCUCAUUUAAUGGGUCUAUAAAAGCUUUCGCCAUGCAUUAAUAGAUAUAUAAUGCACUAUAAAGCAGAGGUGGAACGCAAAUACUAACGAUUCCUAUCGAAUUAGGACACAUCUAUUU